UUACUAUCUUUCUUUAAUUCUUCAAAAACAUCUUCUCUCAUUUCUCUCUAAGCCCAAACUUUAUCCUUCAUUUUUGAGAAACUUAGAGGCUUCCAAUCACAAAACCUUCAACUACAAAGUUGUUUCGCUACUUGAAAGGAAUGCAAAGAGCUAAGGAUCAAUAGUUGAGAUUUCUAGAGGGAGCUGCCUGUAAACAUCCUUUAGUAAAUCACCAUGAAGUAAGGCGUUGUUUACAUCAAGCUGAUGAAUGUCCAUAUUAUGAAUAAAUGCCACUGCAAGUAGUACACGGAUUGUUUUCAUUUUAGCCACUGGGGAAAAGGUUUCAAAGAAGUCCAAUCCUUUAAUUUGAUUGUAUCCUUUGGCCACUAAAGGUUAUUAACAAUGAUCAAUGGAGCCAUCCUCUUUCAUCUUGAUUUUGUAGACCCACUUACUACCAAUAGGCUUAGCACCAGGAGGUAGACCAACAAAGGACCAAGUUUUGUUAGCUUCAAGAGCUUCCAACUCUGGCUGCAUGGCCCAACCCAACAUUCUUCUGUGCAGGCCUUUUUGUAAGAAAUUGUCUAAGUCAAGAGAGAAAGACAAAAUUGCUUGUGGGUGGGAGAUAGAUGACUGCUGCUGUCAUAAAGAUGAAUGGGAUAUGUAGUGGAGAGGGCAUUACUACCUACAGAAGGCACAUCGUAGUCCAGAAAGUGCACAGGAAUCCUCCUAACACAUUGAGAUCUUCUUAAGGAGUCAGAAUCGGUGGAAGCAAGCAGGUCUCAGAUAGGUGAGUUGACUCGGAACUAGCUAGUUGGUGAUGGAGUAUGAUCAGGGACCAAGACUAGGUGACUGGUACCAUGGCUCAUAGCAGGCAGACCGAUAUCAUGACUCAUAGCAGACUGAUGAACACUUGUGUCAAGGUAUUGCCAUUGUGAAGCACCCACUUUGGUGCAAGGAAAACAUUGUCUUACGGAACUUUACAUUUCCGGAGACAACAAUAGCAUGUGCGGAUCUAACACCACAAAUCCUUUAACACCUGCUUUGUAUCCAAGGAACACUCCCUUGCUAGCUCUUCCAUCAAACACCACAAAUCCUUUAAAUUGUCUUUCUACCAAUAACACAAAUUGUUUAAUAUGAUUUGGUGCUUCGUGUUUGCCUUUUAAUAAAAUUAUUUAGGUAUGUCUACUUUGAUCAUCAACAAUAGUAAGAAAGUAUUUGUGACCAUAUGGACACUAUGAGUGGAAAAGGGACCCCAUAGGUCCAUGUGUAGUAAAUCAAAGCAAGUUAAAGCUUUACUUUGACUAAGAUUAUAAAACAGCUUCUUUUGUUUAGACAUGUGGCAAAUGUCACAUACACAAGCUUUAUUAAUAUGAAUAAAAGGAUACACUUUAUGCAAAAGUUAUAAUUUGGCAAGAGAGGUGUGGCCAAACCUAAAAUGCCAAAGUGCAGAUUGAGGAAUAGAAAUGGAAGUACAGAAAAUAUUGCCUAUUGUAUUGUGCUCCAAAGAAGCUACAUUAA
This is a long non-coding RNA of Cicer arietinum (chickpea), 1497 nucleotides long. RefSeq lists it as uncharacterized. NCBI's taxonomy places the organism in Eukaryota, Viridiplantae, Streptophyta, Magnoliopsida, Fabales, Fabaceae. The record is from RefSeq and is a predicted model, not a curated record.